GGACUACAGGGGUAUCUAAUCCUGUUUGCUCCCCACGCUUUCGCACCUCAGCGUCAGUAAUGGACCAGUAAGCCGCCUUCGCCACUGGUGUUCCUCCGAAUAUCUACGAAUUUCACCUCUACACUCGGAAUUCCACUUACCUCUUCCAUACUCCAGACAUCCAGUAUCAAAGGCAGUUCCAGAGUUGAGCUCUGGGAUUUCACCCCUGACUUAAAUGUCCGCCUACGUGCGCUUUACGCCCAGUAAAUCCGAACAACGCUAGCCCCCUUCGUAUUACCGCGGCUGCUGGCAC
This 292-nucleotide ribosomal RNA is filed under the name uncultured Alphaproteobacteria bacterium. RNAcentral's name for it is "partial 16S ribosomal RNA". The record is from RNAcentral. Lineage: Bacteria; Pseudomonadati; Pseudomonadota; Alphaproteobacteria.